RNAcentral lists this ribosomal RNA (384 nucleotides) under uncultured bacterium. RNAcentral's name for it is "bacterial SSU rRNA". It matches the Rfam family "Bacterial small subunit ribosomal RNA", at positions 28 to 408 of the family's 1533-position model. The record is from RNAcentral.
GACGAACGCUGACGGUGUGCUUUAGACAUGCAAGUCGAGCGAGAAAGCCCUUCGGGGUUAGUAAAGCGGCGAACGGUGAGUAACACGUGGGCAAUCUGCCCCUCGCAGGGGGACAACCGGGGGAAACUCCGGCUAAUACCCCGUAAGCUAUGUGGAUCGCAUGGUUCACAUAGGAAAGGUAGCUUCGGCCAUCCGGCGAGGGAUGAGCCCGCGGUACAUUAGCUAGUUGGUGGGGUAACGCCUACCAAGGCGGCGAUGUAUAGCUGGUCUGAGAGGAUGAUCAGCCACACUGGGACUGAGACACGGCCCAGACUCCUACGGGAGGCAGCAGUCGGAAUCUUGCACAAUGGGCGAAAGCCUGAUGCAGCAACACCGUGUGAGCGA